Molecule: ribosomal RNA, 434 nt
Filed under: uncultured Lachnospiraceae bacterium
Lineage: Bacteria; Bacillati; Bacillota; Clostridia; Lachnospirales; Lachnospiraceae
Description: partial 16S ribosomal RNA
Rfam family: Bacterial small subunit ribosomal RNA
Source: RNAcentral
ACGGAAGGCAGCAGUGGGGAAUAUUGCACAAUGGGGGAAACCCUGAUGCAGCGACGCCGCGUGAGCGAAGAAGUAUUUCGGUAUGUAAAGCUCUAUCAGCAGGGAAGAAAAUGACGGUACCUGACUAAGAAGCUCCGGCUAAAUACGUGCCAGCAGCCGCGGUAAUACGUAUGGAGCAAGCGUUAUCCGGAUUUACUGGGUGUAAAGGGAGCGUAGACGGGACAGCAAGUCUGAUGUGAAAGGCGGGGGCUCAACCCCUGGACUGCAUUGGAAACUGCUGACCUUGAGUGCCGGAGAGGUAAGCGGAAUUCCUAGUGUAGCGGUGAAAUGCGUAGAUAUUAGGAGGAACACCAGUGGCGAAGGCGGCUUACUGGACGGUAACUGACGUUGAGGCUCGAAAGCGUGGGGAGCAGACAGGAUUAGAUACCCUGGUA